This 441-nucleotide ribosomal RNA is filed under the name uncultured bacterium. RNAcentral's name for it is "partial 16S ribosomal RNA". It matches the Rfam family "Bacterial small subunit ribosomal RNA", at positions 339 to 795 of the family's 1533-position model. The record is from RNAcentral.
CUACGGGGGGCUGCAGUAAGGAAUAUUCCACAAUGGGCGAAAGCCUGAUGGAGCGACACCGCGUGGAGGACGACACCUUUCGGGGCGUAAACUCCUUUUCUGAGUGAAUAAGUUCUGAAAUUAACUCAGGAAUAAGUGACGGCUAACUACGUGCCAGCAGCCGCGGUAAUACGUAGGUCGCGAGCGUUAACCGGAAUUAUUGGGCGUAAAGGGUCCGUAGCCGGAAGAGAAAGUCUGAUGUUAAAACACGGUGCUCAACACCGUGAUCGUAUCGGAAACUUCUUUUCUAGAGUUAUUCAGAGGUGCGUGGAAUUUCUUGUGUAGGGGUAAAAUCCGUAGAUACAAGAAGGAACACCAAAAGCGAAGGCAGCGCACUGGGGAUAUACUGACGGUCAGGGACGAAAGCGUGGGGAGCAAAGAGGAUUAGAUACCCGCGUAGCC